AAGCGCUUGCAACCAGACUUGUUGGCGGUGUUCCGCCGGUCUUCUGACCGGUGUACUCACCGUCUGCAGGCCAGCAUCAUCUGGGGCCGCCGGAUAAAAGCGGGGGGAAUGUGGCUCCCUCGGGAGUGUUAUAGCCCCUCGUGCAAUACGGCGUGCCUCGGGUGAGGUCCGCGCUUCGGCUAGGAUGCUGGCGUAAUGGUCGUAAGCGG
RNAcentral lists this ribosomal RNA (209 nucleotides) under Capnodiaceae sp. RNAcentral's name for it is "partial large subunit ribosomal RNA". The record is from RNAcentral. Lineage: Eukaryota; Fungi; Ascomycota; Dothideomycetes; Capnodiales; Capnodiaceae.